AAUUCAUGUAUGUACAACUCCAUUCAGUAAAUUAAACACCAUAAUUGAUAUUUGGAGGCCACCUGAAGUUACAAGGUAGUAAUAUAGCAAAAUGAUAGGAAAAGAUAGGAAAAUGUCCUUACUCAAAUAUUCAUAUGCUAAUAUCCUUGAAGUUCCCCAUGCCGACAUGCUGAAAAAUCUUGGACCAAACCCUCUAUGUGAACCUCCCCAGCCAUCAUCCUUCAUAAAAUUUUUAACAACUUGUCUUGUGGAGCUCUUCCUUUCUUGUCC
Molecule: unclassified non-coding RNA, 270 nt
Filed under: Hevea brasiliensis (rubber tree)
Lineage: Eukaryota; Viridiplantae; Streptophyta; Magnoliopsida; Malpighiales; Euphorbiaceae
Source: RNAcentral